Salvelinus namaycush (lake trout) is the source of this 1805-nucleotide long non-coding RNA. RefSeq lists it as uncharacterized. The record is from RefSeq and is a predicted model, not a curated record. The transcript has 7 exons. Lineage: Eukaryota; Metazoa; Chordata; Actinopteri; Salmoniformes; Salmonidae.
GAGCAGGUUGACGUUUGUCAUGAAUCUUGCCCUGUAUGCAGAACUGAGCGAUUUCUUCUCUGGGCCAGCGGUUUUUGGUCUUCAUUUAACGUUCGAGUUAGGCAUUAGGGUUAGCAAUGUGGUUAAGGUUAGGUUUAAAAUCCGAUUUUAUGACUUUGUGGCUGACAUCUCUGCAGAACUGCCUCCAAGGUUGGAUUCGAAAAAGUUGCAAUGAAGGACAUGUGUUUCCGGUUUAACGACACAAAGUGCCCAGAGGUGACGAAAUGUUUUGAUCAUAAUGGUGACCUGAACCAGAAUCUGCUGAUGGUGCCAGGUCCUUUCCAGAAAUGCACAUCCACCCCCUAUCCUCCUUCUGGGAGGUGCACCAUGUGUAGUCUGGAUUAUUAUUACACUGUGUGCAGAAACGUCUCAGAGAGCAUCCAGCCUGCCCUGGAGGCCAACAGCACAGCCAUUACCAACUAUGAACAAGCCAAUUGCCCUGUCAUCGGCAUCGCGCCAACUAAUGUGACAGGUUCAGACUUCACUGGAGCUGGUGGUCAAAACGGACAUCCUGGGGGUGAACUGUGGUGGUGUUUACUGCUCUCUGUCCUGGUCGUUGUUUGCAUUGGCAUCAUUGCUUACAGGUGUAUCAAGAAGCGCAAAAUAGAAAACCAUGUCAUAUAAGGCACUCAGGACUACCCAUCCCUUAACCAAGCUAUUUGGACCCAACCACCAGAGAAAGUGACAGGGACAGCACUCAGGACUACCCAUCCCUUAACCAAGCUAUUUGGACCCAACCACCAGAGAAAGUGACAGGGACAGCACUCAGGACUACCCAUCCCUUAACCAAGCUAUUUGGACCCAACCACCAGAGAAAGUGACAGGGACAGCACUCAGGACUACUCAAACCCCCAGAUCAGGAUGCUGCUGCAUUAUCUCUGCCUUAAUUCCAUCACUUUAACUCUUCUUCUUAAAGUUGUAAUCUUUUAAUACAUUUUCAUAUUCAGAUUCUUGUAAAUCAGUACCGUUAAACCAGUGCCUUGGAUAAUUUUUGGUCCUCUAAUACUGACACCAGCCGGCUAAAGCCUACUCUUAUUCUUAGGAAUAAGUAUGGAAAUACAAAUGUUUUACCCAUGACGCAUCUACCAGGGUAUUUUGAAUGGGGCAAAAAGGGAAAAUAUGGACAGUUAUUAAUCAAGCAGAGAUAAGCUUAUUCAGAAGUUGAUGCACUUUAACCCACCAAUUAAUUAUAAUUUACACAUGUUCUAUAACACCCAUUACACCUUUGAAACUUCAUAUGAGUGGUCUGCACAUGGCUGAGGGAGGAAUGUAGUGAUUUAUAAUACAAGUUAUUACCAUCAAGAUGAUGGUACAGGACCCCACUACUGAAAAUCAACCUGGGUUCGUAAAUGAUUUGUGCCAUCCAUCUCCCUAAUGAAAAGGAUUUAUCCUAGCCUUCACCACCACUGUACUGUAUGUAAAAGCAUUAUGUUGUACUGUGCUAUUUGUCUAUGUCAAUACUGUAUUUCUAAUGCUAGUGUUUGUGAGAUGUAGUAAGUCUGUUUACAAGUAUAUUUAUGCUGUAAAGCAGGGUUUCCCAAACUCAUUCAAAUAACGAAUUUAAAUCAGCUGUGUAGUGCUAGGGCAAACAUUAUAUACAGUAUGCACCCAGGGUGGGCCACAGAACCGAGUUUGGGGAACCCUGCUGUACAUUAUGAGGCUGUAAUACUCUAUUCUAUACCAGUACUCAAGUGUUGGAGAAAAGGAUCAUGAAAUAUUUACUUCUCUUUUUUUAACUUUCUCAAAUAAAUCUUUAUAUAAAUGAA